RNAcentral lists this ribosomal RNA (305 nucleotides) under uncultured bacterium. RNAcentral describes it as "bacterial SSU rRNA". It matches the Rfam family "Bacterial small subunit ribosomal RNA", at positions 333 to 636 of the family's 1533-position model. The record is from RNAcentral.
GUAGGCCUACGGGGGGCAGCAGUGAGGAAUAUUGGUCAAUGGGAGAGAUCCUGAACCAGCCAAGCCGCGUGAGGGAAGACGGCCCUAUGGGUUGUAAACCUCUUUUGCCGGGGAGCAAAAAGCGGUACGUGUACCGCAUCGAGAGUACCCGGAGAAAAAGCAUCGGCUAACUCCGUGCCAGCAGCCGCGGUAAUACGGAGGAUGCGAGCGUUAUCCGGAUUUAUUGGGUUUAAAGGGUGCGUAGGCGGAAUGCCAAGUCAGCGGUAAAAUCGCGGGGCUCAACCUCGCUCCGCCGUUGAAACUGG